RNAcentral lists this long non-coding RNA (200 nucleotides) under Eutrema salsugineum. RNAcentral describes it as "long non-coding RNA (ESAL_LNC000984)". The record is from RNAcentral. Lineage: Eukaryota; Viridiplantae; Streptophyta; Magnoliopsida; Brassicales; Brassicaceae.
GCGAUUUGUGAAUGCUGACGAGUCUUAAACAUAAUGCAUCUCUUCUUUUCCAGGGCCCGAGUGGAAACCUACUGGUCAGGGUUGAGAGAGAUAGUUGUCUAUGAUCACGACAGUGGCGUAUUCAUACGUCUGUGACUCCAGUUCGAAAAGUUUAAGCUAAGAUCUUAUCAAAUUUACUCUCUAGCAAUGUUUUGAAUCGU